CAGCGCCACAAGUGGCAAUCACGUUUAUUGGGCCUAAAGCGUCCGUAGCCGGUUUAGCAAAUCUUUUGUGAAAUCGUCAGGCUUAACUUGACGAAUUGCAGAAGACACUACUAAACUAGGGACUGGGAGGAGUCAGAAGUAUUCUGGGGGGACCGGUAAAAUGGUAUAAUCCCCAGAGGACUACCGAUGGCGAAGGCAUCUGACCAGAACAGAUCCGACGGUGAGGGACGAAAGCCAGGGGAGCGAACCGGAUUAGAGACCCGAGUAGUCC
This 271-nucleotide ribosomal RNA is filed under the name uncultured archaeon. RNAcentral describes it as "partial 16S ribosomal RNA". It matches the Rfam family "Archaeal small subunit ribosomal RNA", at positions 477 to 747 of the family's 1478-position model. The record is from RNAcentral.